RNAcentral lists this small RNA (143 nucleotides) under Flavobacterium glaciei. RNAcentral's name for it is "Flavo-1 RNA". It matches the Rfam family "Flavo-1 RNA". The record is from RNAcentral. Lineage: Bacteria; Pseudomonadati; Bacteroidota; Flavobacteriia; Flavobacteriales; Flavobacteriaceae.
UUUUAGCCCUGAUCGUAAUGAAAACCCCGUAGUAAGAAUGCUGUUUUUUCUUGCGUUUUCAGAGCGACCAAAGGAAGCCCAAGAAAAUGCAUUAGAAAAAAAGCUUUUCGAACGAGGAGUUGCAAUGGAGAGCAGGAAUAGUC